UGGGGAAUUUUGGACAAUGGGGGAAACCCUGAUCCAGCCAUCCCGCGUGUGCGAUGAAGGCCUUCGGGUUGUAAAGCACUUUUGGCAGGAAAGAAACGUCAUGGGUUAAUACCCCGUGAAACUGACGGUACCUGCAGAAUAAGCACCGGCUAACUACGUGCCAGCAGCCGCGGUAAUACGUAGGGUGCAAGCGUUAAUCGGAAUUACUGGGCGUAAAGCGUGCGCAGGCGGUUCGGAAAGAAAGAUGUGAAAUCCCAGAGCUCAACUUUGGAACUGCAUUUUUAACUACCGGGCUAGAGUGUGUCAGAGGGAGGUGGAAUUCCGCGUGUAGCAGUGAAAUGCGUAGAUAUGCGGAGGAACACCGAUGGAGAAGGCAGCCUCCUGGGAUAACACUGACGCUCAUGCACGAAAGCGUGGGGAGCAAACAAG
Molecule: ribosomal RNA, 429 nt
Filed under: Acidobacteriota bacterium
Lineage: Bacteria; Pseudomonadati; Acidobacteriota
Description: Acidobacteria bacterium partial 16S ribosomal RNA
Rfam family: Bacterial small subunit ribosomal RNA
Source: RNAcentral